This 71-nucleotide transfer RNA is filed under the name Tetrahymena thermophila SB210. RNAcentral describes it as "Tetrahymena thermophila tRNA-Gly for anticodon CCC". It matches the Rfam family "tRNA". From Rfam's summary of the family: Transfer RNA (tRNA) molecules are approximately 80 nucleotides in length. Their secondary structure includes four short double-helical elements and three loops (D, anti-codon, and T loops). Further hydrogen bonds mediate the characteristic L-shaped molecular structure. tRNAs have two regions of fundamental functional importance: the anti-codon, which is responsible for specific mRNA codon recognition, and the 3' end, to which the tRNAs corresponding amino acid is attached (by aminoacyl-tRNA synthetases). tRNAs cope with the degeneracy of the genetic code in two manners: having more than one tRNA (with a specific anti-codon) for a particular amino acid; and 'wobble' base-pairing, i.e. permitting non-standard base-pairing at the 3rd anti-codon position. Lineage: Eukaryota; Ciliophora; Oligohymenophorea; Hymenostomatida; Tetrahymenidae. The record is from Rfam by way of RNAcentral.
GCUACAUUAAUCUAGUGGUAUGAUAAUUGCCUCCCACGCAAUAAGCUCGGGUUCGAUUCCCGAAUGUAGCA